This 1608-nucleotide small RNA is filed under the name Vigna angularis var. angularis. RNAcentral's name for it is "Non-protein coding transcript". Lineage: Eukaryota; Viridiplantae; Streptophyta; Magnoliopsida; Fabales; Fabaceae. The record is from RNAcentral.
UUAAAUUUCAUUGGUGUUGUGUUGUGUGAAUAGAUUGCCAUGUGUGAUGUGUUAGCCGUAAAAGUUGAUAUUUAGAGAGAACCCUGAUUUCGAAAGUGUUUAACAUCUCCAUUUUCGUUAGAAAGAGUUGUGGAAGCAGUGUUGAAGUGACGAAAUGUCUGGUUGUUCUCCGUCUUGCAAAUGCACGGGUUGGGGUUUUCAAAAUAGCUCUAGUAGUGGGAGUGGGUUGGGUGUAAAACCCAGUUGCUUUUGCGGGCGGCCUAAGUCUUCCGUGUUGCCAGAACCCCUAAAAACAAGGGCAAAAGAUUUUGGGGUUGCCCUAACUUCAAGGUGAGUUUAAUCACUACAAAAAUCUGUAUUUUUACCGGGGUUUUUUUUAAAUAUUACUGACAGUUUUAACCCCUGCAAAUCAUAUUUCCCACGGUUGGAAAAAUCGAUUGGAAAACAUCCAUCGCCAAGCAAGUACCGACGAUUCUGAAAAAAUUGCCAGCAUUAGCGAGGGUUCCCAGAAACCGCCGGAAUUUCCAAGGAUUUUGUAGAAACUACAGGAAUUAGUUGGAGCUUUAUAAAAACCACCGAGAAUAGCGGGACUACUCAAAAACCGCUGGAACUAGCUGAGAUUAUCUCAAAACCGCCCCUAUUUUUGAUGGUUUAGUUUACCGGGGUUUUAAAACCGCCGGGAAUUUGUAUAGUUCAUUUUUUUUAUUGUAAUAAAAUUAGAUUAUAAUAAAAAUGAUUUUAUUGACAAAACAAACAAUAAAUUAAUAUGAACUAAAAUUUAAUAAUAUUGUAUAAAAUAAACUACAUUGUUCAACCUAAUAUCAUUUAUAUAACUAAUUGUUCAUACAUAAAAAUUAAAAAGAAAGAGGUUCAUUAUGUUCAAUAUAGAUGUUCAAUACUAAAAAUAUGACUCAUAAAAGUAUUCAAUAACAAUAUCUAAUUUUUUCUUAUCCAUUGUUUGGCUCACUCCCUUGAUCAGAUACCCGGGGUAAUAUGCAUCCCUGGCAAGUUAGCUGCUUCAGACAAAGCAGACCUCCAAGCCUGCACUCUCUGCGACUCUUUUCCAAACUCUUUUUCGUGUGCCGUCAUGUGUUUUCCGAAACUACUUCUCAAUUCCUGUAUAUCUGAGGGAUCUACAUAGUAGAACACUGGAAGAAAAAAAAAUUUGCUCAGUACUGUUCAUGUGGGUGCGUUGGAUAAUCUUAUCAAGUUCAUCGAGACACCAUGUGGAAGAUGCAUAGUUCUCAGAAAACACAACUAUGAAAACAUUAGAUUCUGCAAUGGCCUCACGCAGAGCAAGUGAAAGACCUGUCCCUAUCCUCAUAUCCCUGUCAUCAUGGAAACUGAGUAUUCCCCUCCUACCCAACCCUUCACGGAGCUGCCGUAGAACGGUGUGCCUAAUAUCUUCCCCUCUGAAACUAAUGAACACAUCGUAGCGAAAAUACUCUUCUUCCUCACCAUGUUUUCCCAUGUUAAAAAAACCAAACUACUCCUAAGGAUGCUCAACUAAUUUUUUCAAUUUAGUGUGUUGUGAUUGAAUAGAGCAGAGUAUCCUAUGCUUGAUCUACACACUUUACUUUAUCAAUGAAGUAAGGUUCCUGGAAGGUG